This 1216-nucleotide unclassified non-coding RNA is filed under the name Yarrowia lipolytica. Lineage: Eukaryota; Fungi; Ascomycota; Dipodascomycetes; Dipodascales. The record is from RNAcentral.
CCCACCUACCCAAGUGGGUUUACAUCACCAACGGAAGGUUUCUCCGUUCAGCACCAAGAAGUUGUCUCCAUAUCUGCCCUUGAUAGGUUUGACACGUGGUUGUAGAAUUUGUCUCAAGAGAGGUCUCGAAGCUGAGUUUGGAGGCGCACGGAGACAGAUGUGAGAUGGAUGUGCCGGUUCAUUUGGACUUGGGAAGGCACAUCCUGUCUGCUGUGGAGUAACCAUAUCACGAAUCUGGCAGCUGAGGGCUCGGCAGUUCUUGAUAGAUGGAGGGAAAAUGGCGAGUUUUGCCGAAACUAUCCGUCGCUUUUGGGAAUCAAGUGGGUGUCGAUCCGAAACAACAAGAUUGUUCGAAUGUAUGGCUACACGGACGAUCUGCGGUUCUCUCAGGUGUUUCUGUUGCAUACCAACUUUGAGGUGUCCAUUGAAGCCUCUUCGGCGAAGAACCAGCUCCUGGAUGAGUUAUGGAACUCGGAUGCAGUCUUGUUUGUUUCAGCACGUGACCAGGAUAGAUUCUACUAGUUCUCCUACACCACCGAGGACUUCUUGACCGGCAGAGAUGCAAAUAACGAGAUGGAGGAAAGUUCCAAGGAGGAGGAAAAAGACAGAGAGCUCAAAUCGGCAUCUAGAGUUGUCUUGCACACGAAUCUGGGACACCGCCGCUACCCUGUUCCCUCAAGCUGCGCCCAAAACCUGUGCCAACUUCUCAGAGUUGUGUCCAAUUGAAUUGGACACUCGACUCCUCUACCUUCCACCGAAUCAUCAAGAAGUUUAUGAGCCAAGGAGGAGAUCCAGACGGAAAUUGUACUGGUAGUCAGCAUCUGGGGCUAGAACUUCGAGGAUGAGGGAAGCAAGGAUCGAUAAUAGACUGGCUGAAGAGAGAAAAUGCACUUCUUUUGAACUCGGAGACUCUUCGUUAUGGAGCUGAAGCAUUGUAAGUGCUUUUCUCUGCUAGUCUCUUCAUGAUCGAAUUCAAUAACGGUGAGGUUGGUGUAAUUGAGAGCAGUGAGAAUAUCAAUAUCACCGGUUACGGAUACAUACUUCCUAUUAAACUCCUUUUCACCUUCGCCUUAAUCAUUCUGAGAAUGUCCGCCCCGGUAUGUGUGACAUUAGCAGAGAAAGCAUCCCCAGAAGUCAGUCCAUCUCGAACCUGAAACACACUGCAAUAUUGCUAUGCGAGAUCCUGAGGCCCUUUGUGGAAGUAGAGCUACGCGCU